GAACGCUAGCUACAGGCUUAACACAUGCGAGUCGAGGGGCAGCAUGGUCUUAGCUUGCUAAGGCCGAUGGCGACCGGCGCACGGGUGAGUAACACGUAUCCAACCUGCCGUCUACUCUUGGACAGCCUUCUGAAAGGAAGAUUAAUACAAGAUGGCAUCAUGAGUCCGCAUGUUCACAUGAUUAAAGGUAUUCCGGUAGACGAUGGGGAUGCGUUCCAUUAGAUAGUAGGCGGGGUAACGGCCCACCUAGUCUUCGAUGGAUAGGGGUUCUGAGAGGAAGGUCCCCCACAUUGGAACUGAGACACGGUCCAAACUCCUACGGGAGGCAGCAGUGAGGAAUAUUGGUCAAUGGGCGAGAGCCUGAACCAGCCAAGUAGCGUGAAGGAUGACUGCCCUAUGGGUUGUAAACUUCUUUUAUAAAGGAAUAAAGUCGGGUAUGGAUACCCGUUUGCAUGUACUUUAUGAAUAAGGAUCGGCUAACUCCGUGCCAGCAGCCGCGGUAAUACGGAGGAUCCGAGCGUUAUCCGGAUUUAUUGGGUUUAAAGGGAGCGUAGAUGGAUGUUUAAGUCAGUUGUGAAAGUUUGCGGCUCAACCGUAAAAUUGCAGUUGAUACUGGAUAUCUUGAGUGCAGUUGAGGCAGGCGGAAUUCGUGGUGUAGCGGUGAAAUGCUUAGAUAUCACGAAGAACUCCGAUUGCGAAGGCAGCCUGCUAAGCUGCAACUGACAUUGAGGCUCGAAAGUGUGGGUAUCAAACAGGAUUAGAUACCCUGGUAGUCCACACGGUAAACGAUGAAUACUCGCUGUUUGCGAUAUACUGCAAGCGGCCAAGCGAAAGCGUUAAGUAUUCCACCUGGGGAGUACGCCGGCAACGGUGAAACUCAAAGGAAUUGACGGGGGCCCGCACAAGCGGAGGAACAUGUGGUUUAAUUCGAUGAUACGCGAGGAACCUUACCCGGGCUUAAAUUGCAGAUGAAUUACGGUGAAAGCCGUAAGCCGCAAGGCAUCUGUGAAGGUGCUGCAUGGUUGUCGUCAGCUCGUGCCGUGAGGUGUCGGCUUAAGUGCCAUAACGAGCGCAACCCUUGUUGUCAGUUACUAACAGGUUCCGCUGAGGACUCUGACAAGACUGCCAUCGUAAGAUGUGAGGAAGGUGGGGAUGACGUCAAAUCAGCACGGCCCUUACGUCCGGGGCUACACACGUGUUACAAUGGGGGGUACAGAGGGCCGCUACCACGCGAGUGGAUGCCAAUCCCCAAAACCUCUCUCAGUUCGGACUGGAGUCUGCAACCCGACUCCACGAAGCUGGAUUCGCUAGUAAUCGCGCAUCAGCCACGGCGCGGUGAAUACGUUCCCGGGCCUUGUACACACCGCCCGUCAAGCCAUGGGAGCCGGGGGUACCUGAAGUGCGUAACCGCGAGGAGCGCCCUAGGGUAAAACUGGUGACUGGGGC
Molecule: ribosomal RNA, 1446 nt
Filed under: uncultured organism
Description: SSU rRNA
Rfam family: Bacterial small subunit ribosomal RNA
Source: RNAcentral